Molecule: ribosomal RNA, 253 nt
Filed under: uncultured bacterium
Lineage: Bacteria
Description: partial 16S ribosomal RNA
Rfam family: Bacterial small subunit ribosomal RNA
Source: RNAcentral
UACGGAAGGUGCAAGCGUUGUUCGGAAUCAUUGGGCGUAAAGGGCGCGUAGGUGGUUCUGUAUGUCUGCCGUGAAAGCGUACGGCUCAACCGUAUUUAGUCGGUAGAAACUGCAGGACUUGAGGCUGGGAGGGGCUGGUGGAAUUCCCUGUGUAGCGGUGAAAUGCGUAGAGAUGGGGGAGAACACUCGUGGCGAAGGCAGGUCUCUGGGCUGACACUGACGCUCAUGCACGAAAGCGUGGGGAGCAAACAGG